Molecule: long non-coding RNA, 782 nt
Organism: Mus spicilegus (steppe mouse)
Lineage: Eukaryota; Metazoa; Chordata; Mammalia; Rodentia; Muridae
Source: Ensembl
GGAAAGGUUGCUUAUUCACAAUGAAAUACUCCCAUCCUCUGUGCCACCUCUGCCUUGGGUCCGUUUCUUAUGGGCGAUUAUGAACCAUGAGGCAAGAAGGUUAUUAAUGACAGACUCAUUUGGUAUCGUCAUAGAGCUCCAUUUCUCACUGACGCGCAGUUUCCAUUGCAUUAAAAAAAAAUUUUUUUUUCCCUACAGGAAUUUUGCUUUCCUUGUGCUCAACACCUUUGAAUUUUGCUCACGCAUCUGCUAAGCAGUGAGUAGAAGAUCUGUGCAUGUGUGCUUUGUUUGAGCGCUCCCGUGGCCUGAGAAAUUUGGCUCUCCUGCUGGUGUACAAACUGGUUCUGUAACGGGGAAGUUCAAUGCAUGAGCCCUUAUACAACAGAUGCAGCCUCACCAUCUUCGGUCCGCUAGCACACAAGAAAAUGAUGGCACAGGCAGUUAAUGCACUGUGCCCACCAGAUCUGCCUUGGAGAGGAUUCUAUUCUUCAAUCUCAGAAUCAGGCUGCUAUUUUCAAAGGCUGCUAGGCAGUGGCGUAAACGGCUAGAAGGGAAGAAAGCAAAACCAACCUUCUCCUCUUCAUUUCUUCUUAUUUAUCAGAGCUUACAAAUGCUGCCGUGGCUCUUUUUAAGUGUGGAAAUUCUCAUUUUUUUUUUCUGCAGCAUUUCAGCCUCACACAGAAUCCUUGGGGAUAUGGCAAGGAGCUAACCAACUGCACAUGGGAAAUGAGAUUGGGUCUUGGCUGGAAAAGCUGCAGCCUUGGCUAAUUUUCCACUGAGAG